This 306-nucleotide ribosomal RNA is filed under the name Triticum aestivum (bread wheat). RNAcentral describes it as "partial small subunit ribosomal RNA". The record is from RNAcentral. Lineage: Eukaryota; Viridiplantae; Streptophyta; Magnoliopsida; Poales; Poaceae.
AUGCCGCCGGCAGAUGGUUGCCACCGCGACACUAUAGGAGCGUGUGUGGAUAUUUCUGCCGUUGUGUUCGCCCAGCCAAACCCUACUCCCAUUCGCUCCCUGCUCUUGAUCUGGUCGAGGCCGACGCGGUCGUUACCAUGGCCUCCGCUGUCCCCGCGGCCAAGACCACCCAUGGACCUCCCCGCCGUAUCCAGGCGCUCCAUGAAGCUCUCCCUCGUCUCCACGCCGAAGCACUCGAUCAAGGGAGCAUCGCAUCGCCAUCCCCGUUGUUGCUUCAAGUUCAGCUCCGGCGGCGUUUGCCUUUGA